Unclassified non-coding RNA from Papio anubis (olive baboon), 147 nucleotides. It matches the Rfam family "Metazoan signal recognition particle RNA". Rfam says of the family: The signal recognition particle (SRP) is a universally conserved ribonucleoprotein. It is involved in the co-translational targeting of proteins to membranes. Lineage: Eukaryota; Metazoa; Chordata; Mammalia; Primates; Cercopithecidae. The record is from Ensembl.
GCCGGGCAUCGUGGUGGGUGCCUGUAAUCCCAGCUACUUGGGAGGCUGAAGCAGGAGAAUCGCUUGAACCCAGGAGGCAGAGGUUGCAGUGAGCCAAGAUAGCACCACUGCACUCCACCUGGGUGACAAAGCGAGACUCUGUCUCAA